GACGAACCGUGCGAACGUUGUUCGGAAUCACUGGGCUUAAAGGGCGCGUAGGCGGCUCCGCAAGUCGGGGGUGAAAUCUUUCGGCUUAACCGGAAAAGUGCCUCUGAUACUGCGGAGCUCGAGGGAGGUAGGGGCGGACGGAACUUCCGGUGGAGCGGUGAAAUGCGUUGAUAUCGGAAGGAACGCCGGUGGCGAAAGCGGUCCGCUGGCCCUCUACUGACGCUGAGGAGCGAAAGUGUGGGGAGCGAACAGG
This 253-nucleotide ribosomal RNA is filed under the name uncultured bacterium. Its description in RNAcentral is "partial 16S ribosomal RNA". It matches the Rfam family "Bacterial small subunit ribosomal RNA", at positions 524 to 776 of the family's 1533-position model. The record is from RNAcentral.